AUCGCUUCUCGGCCUUUUGGCUAAGAUCAAGUGUAGUAUGAGUGCAUACCAUGUGUGUUUUUCUGUGAUUGGGUUACCUCACUCAGGAUGAUAUUUUCCAGUUCCGACCAUUUGCCUACGAAUUUCAUAAAGUCAUUGUUUUUGAUAGCUGAGUAAUA
This is a small nuclear RNA of 158 nucleotides. Its record names the gene U2. It matches the Rfam family "U2 spliceosomal RNA". Rfam says of the family: U2 is a small nuclear RNA (snRNA) component of the spliceosome (involved in pre-mRNA splicing). Complementary binding between U2 snRNA (in an area lying towards the 5' end but 3' to hairpin I) and the branchpoint sequence (BPS) of the intron results the bulging out of an unpaired adenosine, on the BPS, which initiates a nucleophilic attack at the intronic 5' splice site, thus starting the first of two transesterification reactions that mediate splicing. The record is from Ensembl.